Molecule: long non-coding RNA, 5215 nt
Filed under: Mytilus galloprovincialis (Mediterranean mussel)
Lineage: Eukaryota; Metazoa; Mollusca; Bivalvia; Mytilida; Mytilidae
Source: RNAcentral
GUGUGUGAAAAGGUAUACUGUAAUAUGUCUUUUAAGUGCCCAGCUUAAAAACAAAUUCUUCAUGGGAUAAAUAAUAAAAACAUACAAAAUGACCAACAGUUUAUUUUAAUUGUACAACCAGGUCUAAGGAUAACAUAAUAGUUGCAUGCACUGUCAUGCUGAGAAAUUAUCUCCCCUUAAAAGUUUUACAAAAUAACAAAUGAGUAUUUCUGAAAUAGAAAAAUCGUAGAGUAACUACGUAUUUUCUUAUUUUCUUGAAAGUAUCCGUAAUUGGCAAUAAAGGCACUCAAUGGUAAUACAAUGUUAUUUCUUUUCACAUAAUCAACUUUUCUUCCCUGAAUUACUUACAAUAAUACUGUAAUAGUAUAUGAAAAAAAAUGUAGCUUAAAAUAAGCCAGGCAACAUGAUCCCCUCCCUUUUAAAAAUGUAUAAAACAUCACGAAAUAAACAACAUUUUGGUGAAACAUAAAACUAAUAUUGUUUUAAUUUACUCACCUCUAUUUUUAGUCUGUUUAAAUGCAGUAGCUUUUUUCAAUUAUUUUGUUCUCCUUAAAAUAACAUUCUGGGGCUAUUUUCACAAAAAAAUCUUAUGACUAAAUGUGAUUGCAAGUUAUAUUGAAAUGUUCAUAACUUACAAGUAAUUUUUUUUGAAAAUGCUACAAACAGGCACUUUUCAAAAAUAUAAUAAGGCAUUUAUUUUACUUUAUUUCCCCAAAUAAAUUAUGUGAUUAUGCAUAUAAACAGAUCAACUAUCAUGUAUAAACAAACAAAAACACUACAAACAAAAGUAAAUAUAUACACAACCUCAUGUGUCAUAAAAUUGCAAAAUUUUCCAGCCAUUGAUUACAUGAAGUGACUAUAGUAUUUAAACACUUAUUCUCCCUUGAAUACAUUAUUAAAAAUUAUUAGAUUCUGAUAAGUUACUUUUUAAAAGCUUAACUUUUCAUGUAUUUUUUGUGUUAAAAAUAUUUCCCAUUUCUGAUCAUGAAAAAGCACUAGAACAAAAUUGUGAUUCUGGGAUGUAAUAAAAAAUACAUCAAAUACUAAGCAAGAUCAAUUGUAAAGAAAUGAUCUUAGAGAAACAGCACCAUUUAAACAUCAUAAGAAGCACCAAUAAUGAGAUUUCAAAAUAUUUCAAAAUAUUUAUGCACCUAAUACUGCACUAUAUAAUUGUAUUCAAUAAAAGAAUGGACAGACCCCUAUCUACUGACUAGAUAACAUAUCUACAAAAAAUAUACAUAAAAGAAUCUCAUUUUGUGGCAAAAUGUUUCAUUUACAUGACAUUGUUUGAAACAGGAUCAAAAACAAUUUUUAAACUACACUAUAUUAUGUGUCUGUAAGAUGCAGAUCCACCCAAUUAAAAGGACUAUGUCAAAGAGAUACAAAUAUGGAACUAGAUGAACCAGUCAAGCAUAAAAUGUAUGUCAUGAUGAUAAAAUUGUUGAAGAAAAACAUUUUUACAAAAAAAUAAAACGAAAGUGACAAAAUCAACCAUUACAAAUAUAUGUAGAGCAGAUCUAGAUAUAAAUAGGCUUCAUAACAGAAGUUACUCAAGCAUGAUAUAUAGGUCAUAGUUACCAAAAUAUUCUGCUUCAUUUAAAUAUAAUUUAUUAAAUUUCUUCUAUAACAAUUAUCUGUUGCAUUGUAAUAUCAAGUAAAGCUGUUUUGAGGCGUUGACCUUAACGCAAAUAUUUUGAAUACUUAAUUCUGGUUAUCCGAAUGUUUUAGAAAUGUAUUACAUUGUGUAAGAGCAUUGUGACCUCAUUGUUAAAGAAUUGUAUAGCAUUGAAUAAGAAAUGGAGCAUGCAAUAUUACAUUACAGAUCAACAAAUGCAUGUUAAUCAUCAUUGAACACAUUAACAAACACACAUACAUUAUCACUGAACAUGUCAACAAAAACAUGUUAAUCAUCACCGAAAUUGUCAACAAACACAUAUACAUCAUUGAACAUGUAAAAAAAACACACAAACAUCAUAAGACAUGUCAUUAAACACGUCAUCAAAACCAAUUAACGUUACAGUACCCAAAUUGCACCUAUUCAACAAAAAUAGCUACAAAAUCUUACAAGUUUUCUUUGAGACUAAGCAAUUUGCAUUUUGAAAGUUGACAUUAUACAUGUCUUUCAACAUAGCUGAAUAUAUUUAAAUAUUAUCAAUAGAUAAAACACUCACUUGAAAAAUUAAAUCUACGGAAACGUUGCAUGGCGACGUUCCAUGCUACAUUUUCAAAAAGUCAUCUUUUAAAAAUGAGAAAAUAAAAUAUGUAACAAGCAUCCAUUUUUUUAAAAAUGAAUAGUAAGCAUGGACUUAUGUCAAGUUGUUCUAAAUAUUUGAAGAAAUGGAACAAAACAUCUGUUACUCAAUUAUUAAGGAUGUGAAUUUAAGCAUGGAUGCAAUUUGGGUACUCCUCAUAAUGGAAUCGUGAAUUGUUUGGAGGUCUGUUCAAACCCAUUUUUCUAUGAUUCAAUAUGGAUUCAAAAUCAAACUGCUUUUACUAUAUAGUAAAUAAGGAUACAUCUUCAAAAUAAACACAGAUGGAUCCUAAAACUAGAGGCUCUCAAGAGCCUGUGUUGCUCACCUUGGUCUAUGUGCAUAUUAACAAUGGACACAGGACAAAAUGGUGUUUUGGUGAUGGUAAUGUGUUUGUAGAUCUUUCUUUACUGAAUAUUCCUGUUGCUACAAUUAUCUCUAUCUAUAAUGAACUUGGCCCAGUAAUUACAGUGGAAAAUAUUUCCUAAAAAUUUACAAAAAUUUAUGAAAAUUGUUAACAAUUGACUAUAAAGGGCAAUAACUCCUUAAGGGGUCAAUUGACAAUUUUGGUCAUGUUAACUUAUUUGUAGAUCUUAUUUUUCUGAACAUUAUUGCUGUUUACAGUUUAUCUCUAUCUAUAAUAAUAUCCAGAUAAUAACCAAUAUCUGCAAAAUUUCCUUAAAAUUACUAAUUUCGGGGGCAGCAACCCAACAACAGGUUGUCCGAUUUGUCUGAAAAUUUCAGGGCAGAUAGAUCUUGACCUGAUAAACAAUUUAACCCCCAGGUCAGAUUUGCUCUUAAUGCUUUGGUUUCCGAGAUAUAAGCCAAAAUCUACAUUUCACCUCUAUGUUCUAUUUUCAGCCAUGGUGGCCAUCUUGGUUGGUUGGCCGGGUCACGCCACACAUUUUUUAAACUAGAUACCCGAAAGAUGAUUGUGGCCAAGUUUGGUUUAAUUUGGCCAAGUAGUUUCAGGAGAAGAUUUUUGUAAUAGAUUUACGAAAAAUGGUUAAAAAUUGACUAUUAAGGGCAAUAACUCCUAAAGGGGUCAACUGACCAUUUCGGUCAUGUUGACUUAUUUGUAAAUCUGACUUUGCUGAACAUUAUUGCUUUUUACAGUUUAUCUCUAUCUAUAAUAAUAUUCAAGAUAAUAGCCAAAAAACGGUAUAACUUCCUUAAAAUUGCCAAUUCCAGGGCAGCAACCCAACAACGGGUUGUCUGAUUCGUCUGAAAAUUUCAGGGCAGAUAGAUCUUGACCUGAUAAACAAUUUAACCCAUGACAGAUUUGCUCUAAAUGCUUUGGUUUCAGAGUUAUAAGCCAAAAACUGCAUUUUACCCCUAUGUUCUAUUUUUAGCCAUGGUGGCCAUCUUGGUUGGUUGGCCUGGUCACGCCACACAUUUUUUAAAUAAGAUACCCCUAUGAUGAUUGUGGCCAAGUUUGGUUUAAUUUGGGCCAGUAGUUUCAGAGGAGAAGAUUUUGUAAAAGCUAACGACGACGACGGACGCAAAGUGAUUAGAAAAGCUCACUUGGCCCUUCGGCCCAGAUGAGCUAAAACGUAGGUGAAAAAACUGUCAAAAUAGGUGCAAUUUGGGUACCCUCUAUUUGCAUCAUCAUUAGAACAUUUCAACAAAAACAAUUUACAUUAUCCCUAAAACAGGUCAACAAACACACAUACAUCAUCAAGGAACAUUUCAAAAAACAAAUGUACAUAAUCAGAACACAUUAUUACAUGACAAUAGUUAAAAAUAAAACCAAAACUUUUUUUCAUAUAUAUAAAUUAUAUUUUUGUGUAUGCAACCACCUCAAAUGAGAAAUUUUGAGAAAAAAAAAAAGACUUAGCAUCUGUAAUUUGACAAGCAAUAGUGAUUGAUAUAAUAGUCUGUUUGACAAUUCCCUGUAAUUGAUCCUGUAAUUAGAGAUCCCUUUUUUGGUUGUCUCCCUUAGAAGGCACAUUAACUUUAAUUGACAAUGGAGAGCUAGCAGAAAGUGCAAAUUUAUAAGUGAGUAAUGUGUGUAACCUUUAAAUUUUUCAAAUCAUUAAGUAACAUUUAAUUUGUUUAAUUUUAUUGUAGUAUAAUAAACCAAUCUUUUAUGGAGAUUGAAUCUUAUUUGUUGUUACAGCUUUUACAUUAAUGCUAGCAAGACAAAUCUUUGUUUGGCUUGCUUGCUUUCUUUCUAUGUAAAUACUUUUGAUACCAGAAGUUAAUUUUCAAUAAAAAUUUGUUAAAAGGCCUAUAUAUCACUUUGAACUUAUGCUUGAGUGGGCAAAGGCCAAUUUUGUCCAGCAGAGAAACAGUCUACGAUUGACAUUAAGUGGGAAAAAGCAAAUUUUGUCCAGCAUAUAAAGUCUACAAUUGACAAAGGGAAGUAAUUUCUUUAAAAUUGUGUAAUAACAGAAUUAAAUCAGUAAUUGGCAAAUGGACUAUUUGAACACAACUUUUCCAAAGACAUCUUUAAUAUCCUAACAUAUGAAAACCUUGUAAGGUGAUUGAUUAUAUUAAAAGAAGGCAAAUAAUAAAUGUUAAGAUUGUGGACAGUUAUUUAUGACUAGACAAAAAUUAAAGAAGUCAAAUAAAGCAAACAUAGAUCAUGCCGACUCAUUUCGUUUUUGUUACAGGUAUGUAUUAUGCAUGUAUUGUGGGGAAAAAAAAACAAAAUCAUUGAACCUGAACACAAAAAUAUACAAGUCAUUCAAGCACGAGUAUAAAAAUUGUACAUGAAGAUUGUAAUGAUCAAAUAUCAUAUAUAUUUAGCCACAGGUUCUUGAGAAAAAUAUUUAAGAUACAUAACAAGACCAGACCAACAUGUGAAAACAAACAAAGCUAAAUCUAUGUUUGUAACAUAUUUAGAGGUGAUCAAAAUAACGACACCCAAACUUUGUCUUUAUCUAUCAGAUUAUAAAAAUUCUAGCACCUAUGCACGUAAUUAAACAAUAAAACAAUAUAACAUAUGUAUAAAACAACAAAAU